This 104-nucleotide transfer RNA is filed under the name archaeon. RNAcentral describes it as "tRNA-His". It matches the Rfam family "tRNA". Rfam says of the family: Transfer RNA (tRNA) molecules are approximately 80 nucleotides in length. Their secondary structure includes four short double-helical elements and three loops (D, anti-codon, and T loops). Further hydrogen bonds mediate the characteristic L-shaped molecular structure. tRNAs have two regions of fundamental functional importance: the anti-codon, which is responsible for specific mRNA codon recognition, and the 3' end, to which the tRNAs corresponding amino acid is attached (by aminoacyl-tRNA synthetases). tRNAs cope with the degeneracy of the genetic code in two manners: having more than one tRNA (with a specific anti-codon) for a particular amino acid; and 'wobble' base-pairing, i.e. permitting non-standard base-pairing at the 3rd anti-codon position. The record is from RNAcentral.
GCUGCGGUGGUGUAGUGGUUAUCGCGGAACCUUGGUUCCGUAAUCACAAAGCAUAGGAGCCUGUGUAGCUUCUGGCCCGGGUUCAAAUCCCGGCCGCGGCCCCA